Molecule: long non-coding RNA, 424 nt
Filed under: Homo sapiens (human)
Lineage: Eukaryota; Metazoa; Chordata; Mammalia; Primates; Hominidae
Description: HSALNT0320372
Source: RNAcentral
UUGUUUAAAAUGUGAACCAACUGGUCGGGGACAGUAAUCUAAUUCUGCAUUUGGUUUGAGGCCAAUGCAUUGAGGGCAUUCAAUAAAUAAUGGUGUUUGGUGAGCCUUUCCUAGAUCCUGGCUGCUUAUGUCCAAGAUGAAGCUAGGACCUUCAGAAGCAAGCUCAAGAGAUGAUGAAUGAAGGAAGGUGGAGCUCCGAAGACCAUGAAGACAACAGCUCUUCGGUGUUAAAGCCACAAGACCAAGAGCAGACACAGCAUCCAGAAGAAAACCUCUAUUGGCAAGCACAAGACAGUGAUCACAGAUGUGGCCCCAGACGACGGAAGGACAGGAGUGCAGCACGCUGAAAUGUCGGAAUACUACACGCCUGCAAUUGCCUUUCCCUCUGGCAUUUAAUGAGAAAUAAAAAGCACAUGUGAAGGUU